GACGAACGCUGGCGGCGUGCUUAACACAUGCAAGUCGAACGGAAAGGCCCUGCUUUUGUGGGGUGCUCGAGUGGCGAACGGGUGAGUAACACGUGAGUAACCUGCCCUUGACUUUGGGAUAACUUCAGGAAACUGGGGCUAAUACCGGAUAGGAGCUCCUGCUGCAUGGUGGGGGUUGGAAAGUUUCGGCGGUUGGGGAUGGACUCGCGGCUUAUCAGCUUGUUGGUGGGGUAGUGGCUUACCAAGGCUUUGACGGGUAGCCGGCCUGAGAGGGUGACCGGCCACAUUGGGACUGAGAUACGGCCCAGACGCCUACGGGAGGCAGCAGUGGGGAAUAUUGCACAAUGGGCGGAAGCCUGAUGAAGAAACGCCGCGUGCGGGAUGACGGCCUUCGGGUUGUAAACCGCUUUCGCCUGUGACGAAGCGUGAGUGACGGUAAUGGGUAAAGAAGCACCGGCUAACUACGUG
This 468-nucleotide ribosomal RNA is filed under the name uncultured bacterium. RNAcentral describes it as "partial 16S ribosomal RNA". It matches the Rfam family "Bacterial small subunit ribosomal RNA", at positions 28 to 507 of the family's 1533-position model. The record is from RNAcentral.